This 446-nucleotide ribosomal RNA is filed under the name uncultured bacterium. RNAcentral describes it as "bacterial SSU rRNA". It matches the Rfam family "Bacterial small subunit ribosomal RNA", at positions 355 to 825 of the family's 1533-position model. The record is from RNAcentral.
UCGGGAAUUUUGGGCAAUGGGCGAAAGCCUGACCCAGCAACGCCGCGUGAACGAUGAAGGCCUUAGGGUUGUAAAGUUCUUUUGUCAGGGAAGAUAAUGACGGUACCUGAAGAAUAAGCACCGGCUAACUACGUGCCAGCAGCCGCGGUAAUACGUAGGGUGCAAGCGUUAAUCGGAAUUACUGGGCGUAAAGCGUGCGCAGGCGGUUGUGUAAGUCAGAUGUGAAAUCCCCGGGCUCAACCUGGGAAUUGCAUUUGAGACUGCACGGCUAGAGUGUGUCAGAGGGGGUAGAAUUCCACGUGUAGCAGUGAAAUGCGUAGAUAUGUGGAGGAAUACCGAUGGCGAAGGCAGCCCCCUGGGAUAACACUGACGCUCAUGCACGAAAGCGUGGGGAGCAAACAGGAUUAGAUACCCACGUAGUCCCUGAGCGGGCUGGCAAGGCGCAU